Molecule: long non-coding RNA, 328 nt
Filed under: Monodelphis domestica (gray short-tailed opossum)
Lineage: Eukaryota; Metazoa; Chordata; Mammalia; Didelphimorphia; Didelphidae
Description: lncRNA (ENSMODG00000034789.2)
Source: RNAcentral
AACGCUCCCUGCUCUAAAGAUUUGAUGUACAUUGGAUGAUGCAUGGUCCCAAAGCUUCUAAAGUUCAAGCUAUAUUUGCAGCUGAAUGGGACAGUAAAUGUCAAGAUCAAUCCUUUCAUUUAUACAUGAGGAAGGCUCAGAAAAAUUAAAUGACUUCCUCCUCAAACCAGAUUGUUGCCACUAACAAUUCAGUUCAGUUCAAUCUAAGAAAUAUUUACUGAAUACUUACCAGUUAUGGAGAUGCUCUGCUACUGUGUUGUAAAAUAUAACGAGCAGAUUAAUUUGGGGCAAAAAUAAAAUCGCCUACAUGAAAUUAUGAAGAGUGAGA